This 290-nucleotide ribosomal RNA is filed under the name Wolbachia endosymbiont of Haematobia irritans. RNAcentral describes it as "partial 16S ribosomal RNA". It matches the Rfam family "Bacterial small subunit ribosomal RNA", at positions 474 to 763 of the family's 1533-position model. The record is from RNAcentral. Lineage: Bacteria; Pseudomonadati; Pseudomonadota; Alphaproteobacteria; Rickettsiales; Anaplasmataceae.
GGUACCCACAGAAGAAGUCCUGGCUAACUCCGUGCCAGCAGCCGCGGUAAUACGGAGAGGGCUAGCGUUAUUCGGAAUUAUUGGGCGUAAAGGGCGCGUAGGCGGAUUAGUAAGUUAAAAGUGAAAUCCCAAGGCUCAACCUUGGAAUUGCUUUUAAAACUGCUAAUCUAGAGAUUGAAAGAGGAUAGAGGAAUUCCUAGUGUAGAGGUGAAAUUCGUAAAUAUUAGGAGGAACACCAGUGGCGAAGGCGUCUAUCUGGUUCAAAUCUGACGCUGAGGCGCGAAGGCGUG